Molecule: ribosomal RNA, 194 nt
Filed under: uncultured bacterium
Lineage: Bacteria
Description: partial 16S ribosomal RNA
Rfam family: Bacterial small subunit ribosomal RNA
Source: RNAcentral
CCUACGGGAGGCAGCAGUGGGGAAUUUUGGACAAUGGGGGAAACCCUGAUCCAGCCAUCCCCCGUGUGCGAUGAAGGCCUUCGGGUUGUAAAGCACUUUUGGCAGGGAAGAAAUAGCUUGGGCUAAUACCCUGAGCAGAUGACGGUACCUGCAGAAUAAGCACCGGCUAACUACGUGCCAGCAGCCGCGGUAAU